RNAcentral lists this non-coding RNA (21 nucleotides) under Caenorhabditis elegans. Lineage: Eukaryota; Metazoa; Nematoda; Chromadorea; Rhabditida; Rhabditidae. The record is from RNAcentral.
UAUUAGAAUUUUUCGAACAAC